This 506-nucleotide ribosomal RNA is filed under the name uncultured bacterium. Its description in RNAcentral is "partial 16S ribosomal RNA". It matches the Rfam family "Bacterial small subunit ribosomal RNA", at positions 28 to 523 of the family's 1533-position model. The record is from RNAcentral.
GAUGAACGCUAGCUACAGGCUUAACACAUGCAAGUCGAGGGGUAACGAGAGGAAAGCUUGCUUUCCUUGUCGACGACCGGCGCACGGGUGAGUAACGCGUAUCCAACCUGCCCCCAACUAGGGAAUAACCUUGCGAAAGUAAGACUAAUACCCUAUAAUUUCCUCAGAUGUCAUCUGACGAGGAAUAAAGAUUUAUCGGUUGUGGAUGGGGAUGCGUCUGAUUAGCUUGUUGGCGGGGUAAAGGCCCACCAAGGCAACGAUCAGUAGGGGUUCUGAAAGGAAGGUCCCCCACAUUGGAACUGAGACACGGUCCAAACUCCUACGGGAGGCAGCAGUGAGGAAUAUUGGUCAAUGGGCGGAAGCCUGAACCAGCCAAGUAGCGUGCAGGAUGACGGCCCUAUGGGUUGUAAACUGCUUUUAUACAGGAAUAAAGUUAGCCACGUGUGGUUAUUUGUAGGUACUGUAUGAAUAAGGACCGGCUAAUACCGUGCCAGCCGCCGCCGUAA